AGUAGGAGAGCUGGGUCAAAUUGGUUGCAUUCCAAGUUUUCUAAGGCAAUCUCCAUAUUGCUUUCCAGAUUGGCUGCAGCAAUUUGCAGUCCCACCAGCAGU
RNAcentral lists this microRNA precursor (102 nucleotides) under Marmota monax (woodchuck). Lineage: Eukaryota; Metazoa; Chordata; Mammalia; Rodentia; Sciuridae. The record is from RNAcentral.